AACGAACGCUGGCGGCAGGCUUAACACAUGCAAGUCGAACGCCCUGGCAACAGGGAGUGGCAGACGGGUGAGUAACGCGUGGGAACGUGCCCUUCGGUUCGGAAUAACUCAGGGAAACUUGAGCUAAUACCGGAUACGUGCGAGAGCAGAAAGAUUUAUCGCCGAAGGAUCGGCCCGCGUCCGAUUAGCUAGUUGGUGAGGUAACGGCUCACCAAGGCGACGAUCGGUAGCUGGUCUGAGAGGAUGAUCAGCCACACUGGGACUGAGACACGGCCCAGACUCCUACGGGAGGCAGCAGUGGGGAAUAUUGGACAAUGGGCGCAAGCCUGAUCCAGCCAUGCCGCGUGAGUGAUGAAGGCCCUAGGGUUGUAAAGCUCUUUCGCCAGGGACGAUAAUGACGGUACCUGGAUAAGAAGCCCCGGCUAACUUCGUGCCAGCCGCCGCUGUAA
Molecule: ribosomal RNA, 449 nt
Filed under: uncultured bacterium
Lineage: Bacteria
Description: partial 16S ribosomal RNA
Rfam family: Bacterial small subunit ribosomal RNA
Source: RNAcentral